GGGUGAGUAUCGCGUGGGUAAUCUACCUCUGAAUUUGGGAUAACUCCGCGAAAGCGGGGCUAAUACCGGAUAAUAUUUCAGGAUCUUCGGGUUUUGAAAUCAAAAGUGGCCUCUACAUGUAAGCUACUGUUUGGAGAUGAGCCCGCGUGCCAUUAGCUUGUUGGUAGGGUAAUGGCCUACCAAGGCUACGAUGGUUAGCUGGUCUGAGAGGAUGAUCAGCCACACUGGAACUGACACACGGUCCAGACUCCUACGGGAGGCAGCAGUGAGGAAUUUUGCGCAAUGGGGGAAACCCUGACGCAGCAACGCCGCGUGAGUGAUGAAGGCUUUCGAGUCGUAAAGCUCUGUCAAGUGGGAAGAACAUGAUAAAUGUUAAUAUCAUUUUUCACUGACGGUACCACUAAAGGAAGCACCGGCUAACUCCGUGCCAGCAGCCGCGGUAAUACGGGGGGUGCAAGCGUUAUUCGGAAUUAUUGGGCGUAAAGGGCGCGUAGGCGGUCUUUUAAGUCAGAUGUGAAAGCCCGGGGCUUAACCCCGGAAGUGCAUUUGAAACUAAAGGACUUGAGUAUGGGAGAGGGAAGUGGAAUUCCUGGUGUAGAGGUGAAAUUCGUAGAUAUCAGGAGGAACACCGGUGGCGAAGGCGACUUCCUGGACCAAUACUGACGCUGAGGCGCGAAGGCGUGGGGAGCAAACAGGAUUAGAUACCCUGGUAGUCCACGCAGUAAACGAUGAACACUAGGUGUAGCGGGUAUUGACCCCUGCUGUGCCGCAGU
This 773-nucleotide ribosomal RNA is filed under the name uncultured delta proteobacterium. RNAcentral's name for it is "bacterial SSU rRNA". It matches the Rfam family "Bacterial small subunit ribosomal RNA", at positions 104 to 852 of the family's 1533-position model. Lineage: Bacteria; Deltaproteobacteria. The record is from RNAcentral.